RNAcentral lists this ribosomal RNA (2934 nucleotides) under Priestia megaterium QM B1551. RNAcentral's name for it is "Bacillus megaterium QM B1551 23S ribosomal RNA". Lineage: Bacteria; Bacillati; Bacillota; Bacilli; Caryophanales; Bacillaceae. The record is from RNAcentral.
UUGGUUAAGUCCUCGAUCGAUUAGUAUCAGUCAGCUACACAUGUCGCCACGCUUCCACCUCUGACCUAUCAACCUGAUCAUCUUUCAGGGAUCUUACUAGCUUGCGCUAUGGGAAAUCUCAUCUUGAGGGGGGCUUCAUGCUUAGAUGCUUUCAGCACUUAUCCCGUCCACACAUAGCUACCCAGCGAUGCCUUUGGCAAGACAACUGGUACACCAGCGGUGUGUCCAUCCCGGUCCUCUCGUACUAAGGACAGCUCCUCUCAAAUUUCCUACGCCCACGACGGAUAGGGACCGAACUGUCUCACGACGUUCUGAACCCAGCUCGCGUACCGCUUUAAUGGGCGAACAGCCCAACCCUUGGGACCGACUACAGCCCCAGGAUGCGAUGAGCCGACAUCGAGGUGCCAAACCUCCCCGUCGAUGUGGACUCUUGGGGGAGAUAAGCCUGUUAUCCCCGGGGUAGCUUUUAUCCGUUGAGCGAUGGCCCUUCCAUGCGGAACCACCGGAUCACUAAGCCCGACUUUCGUCCCUGCUCGACUUGUAGGUCUCGCAGUCAAGCUCCCUUGUGCCUUUACACUCUACGAAUGAUUUCCAACCAUUCUGAGGGAACCUUUGGGCGCCUCCGUUACAUUUUAGGAGGCGACCGCCCCAGUCAAACUGCCCACCUGACACUGUCUCCCGGCCCGAUCAGGGCCGCGGGUUAGAAUUUCAAUACAGCCAGGGUAGUAUCCCACCGACGCCUCCACCGAAGCUAGCGCUCCGGCUUCUCAGGCUCCUACCUAUCCUGUACAAGCUGUACCAAAAUUCAAUAUCAGGCUACAGUAAAGCUCCACGGGGUCUUUCCGUCCUGUCGCGGGUAACCUGCAUCUUCACAGGUACUAUAAUUUCACCGAGUCUCUCGUUGAGACAGUGCCCAGAUCGUUACGCCUUUCGUGCGGGUCGGAACUUACCCGACAAGGAAUUUCGCUACCUUAGGACCGUUAUAGUUACGGCCGCCGUUUACUGGGGCUUCGAUUCAGAGCUUCUCCCAAAGGAUAACCCCUCCUCUUAACCUUCCAGCACCGGGCAGGCGUCAGCCCCUAUACUUCGCCUUGCGGCUUCGCAGAGACCUGUGUUUUUGCUAAACAGUCGCCUGGGCCUAUUCACUGCGGCUCUCUCGGGCUAUACACCCUACCAGAGCACCCCUUCUCCCGAAGUUACGGGGUCAUUUUGCCGAGUUCCUUAACGAGAGUUCUCUCGAUCACCUUAGGAUUCUCUCCUCGCCUACCUGUGUCGGUUUGCGGUACGGGCACCUCCCGCCUCGCUAGAGGCUUUUCUUGGCAGUGUGGAAUCAGGAACUUCGGUACUAUAAUUCCCUCGUCAUCACAGCUCAGCCUUUAUGAUGAGCGGAUUUGCCUACUCAUCAGCCUAACUGCUUGAACGCGCAUAUCCAGCAGCGCGCUUACCCUAUCCUACUGCGUCCCCCCAUUACUCAAACGGCGGGGAGGUGGUACAGGAAUAUCAACCUGUUGGCCAUCGCCUACGCUUUUCAGCCUCGGCUUAGGUCCCGACUAACCCUGAGCGGACGAGCCUUCCUCAGGAAACCUUAGGCAUUCGGUGGACAAGAUUCUCACUUGUCUUUCGCUACUCAUACCGGCAUUCUCACUUCUAAGCGCUCCACCAGUCCUUACGGUCUGACUUCACAGCACUUAGAACGCUCUCCUACCACUGACAUCUAAGAUGUCAAUCCACAGCUUCGGUGAUACGUUUAGCCCCGGUACAUUUUCGGCGCAGAGUCACUCGACCAGUGAGCUAUUACGCACUCUUUAAAUGGUGGCUGCUUCUAAGCCAACAUCCUGGUUGUCUAAGCAACUCCACAUCCUUUUCCACUUAACGUAUACUUGGGGACCUUAGCUGGUGGUCUGGGCUGUUUCCCUUUUGACUACGGAUCUUAUCACUCGCAGUCUGACUCCCAUGGAUAAGUCUUUGGCAUUCGGAGUUUGACUGAAUUCGGUAACCCGUUGGGGGCCCCUAGUCCAAUCAGUGCUCUACCUCCAAGACUCUCACAACAUGAGGCUAGCCCUAAAGCUAUUUCGGAGAGAACCAGCUAUCUCCAGGUUCGAUUGGAAUUUCUCCGCUACCCACACCUCAUCCCCGCACUUUUCAACGUGCGUGGGUUCGGGCCUCCAUUCAGUGUUACCUGAACUUCACCCUGGACAUGGGUAGAUCACCUGGUUUCGGGUCUACAACCACAUACUAAACGCCCUAUUCAGACUCGCUUUCGCUACGGCUCCGCCUUAUCAGCUUAACCUUGCAUGGGAUCGUAACUCGCCGGUUCAUUCUACAAAAGGCACGCCAUCACCCGUUAACGGGCUCUGACUACUUGUAGGCACACGGUUUCAGGAUCUCUUUCACUCCCCUUCCGGGGUGCUUUUCACCUUUCCCUCACGGUACUGGUUCACUAUCGGUCACUAGGUAGUAUUUAGCCUUGGGAGAUGGUCCUCCCAGCUUCCGACGGAAUUUCACGUGUUCCGCCGUACUCAGGAUCCACUCAAGAGGGAACGAAGUUUCAACUACAGGGUUGUUACCUUCUUCGACGGACCUUUCCAGGUCGCUUCAUUUACUUCGUUCCUUUGUAACUCCGUAUAGAGUGUCCUACAACCCCAAGAGGCAAGCCUCUUGGUUUGGGCUAAUUCCGUUUCGCUCGCCGCUACUCAGGAAAUCGCAUUUGCUUUCUCUUCCUCCGGGUACUUAGAUGUUUCAGUUCCCCGGGUCUGCCUUCAAUAUCCUAUGUAUUCAGAUAAAGAUACUGUUCCAUUACGAACAGUGGGUUUCCCCAUUCGGAAAUCUCCGGAUCAAAGCUCACUUACAGCUCCCCGAAGCAUAUCGGUGUUAGUCCCGUCCUUCAUCGGCUCCUAGUGCCAAGGCAUUCACCGUGCGCCCUUUCUAACUUAA